GACGAACGCUGGCGGCGUGCUUAACACAUGCAAGUCGAACGGAAAGGCCCUGCUUUUGUGGGGUGCUCGAGUGGCGAACGGGUGAGUAACACGUGAGUAACCUGCCCUUGACUUUGGGAUAACUUCAGGAAACUGGGGCUAAUACCGGAUAGGAGCUCCUGCCGCACGGUGGGGGUUGGAAAGUUUCGGCGGUUGGGGAUGGACUCGCGGCUUAUCAGCUUGUUGGUGGGGUAGUGGCUUACCACGGCUUUGACGGGUAGCCGGCCUGAGAGGGUGACCGGCCACAUUGGGACUGAGAUACGGCCCAGACUCCUACGGGAGGCAGCAGUGGGGAAUAUUGCACAAUGGGCGGAAGCCUGAUGCAGCAACGCCGCGUGCGGGAUGACGGCCUUCGGGUUGUAAACCGCUUUCGCCUGUGACGAAGCGUGAGUGACGGUAAUGGGUAAAGAAGCACCGGCUAACUACGUG
This 468-nucleotide ribosomal RNA is filed under the name uncultured bacterium. RNAcentral describes it as "partial 16S ribosomal RNA". It matches the Rfam family "Bacterial small subunit ribosomal RNA", at positions 28 to 507 of the family's 1533-position model. The record is from RNAcentral.